AAAAUAAUUGUGUGACCCAAAAUUCCCACUUUCCAUUUUUUCUCUGUAUAUAUAUCAGAGGUAGAGUAGCAUAGCCCAUAUGUUUGUUUACUUUACAGCCGCCAACUAUUCACAACAAUGGUCUCACAACGUGAAUCAGAAUACAGCCUAUAUCACAACGGAGCAUAAAUCAGGACAAACUUAAUUAUUAUUUGAGAUAGACUCCAAAGACCUAUGAUGAAAAUAGUGUCACUACACUGGAAUGGUGGAAGAAUAAUCAAAAACAAUAUCUAGUAUUAUCAACCAUGGCUAGAAAUGUGUUAAAUGUUCUCAUGUCAAUCAUUGCAUCGGAGAACGCAUUUAGUCAUUGAAGGCAGCAGAUCGGAGACAAUAGACACUCUUUGGGAGCAAUGUCAUGAAUAUUUUAGUUUGCCUCAAAGAUUAGAUUAGAUCAGAGCGUAGGAAUAAAG
Solanum dulcamara is the source of this 449-nucleotide long non-coding RNA. RefSeq lists it as uncharacterized. NCBI's taxonomy places the organism in Eukaryota, Viridiplantae, Streptophyta, Magnoliopsida, Solanales, Solanaceae. The transcript is spliced from 2 exons. The record is from RefSeq and is a predicted model, not a curated record.